This 2909-nucleotide long non-coding RNA is filed under the name Salmo salar (Atlantic salmon). RNAcentral's name for it is "lncRNA (ENSSSAG00000114848.1)". The record is from RNAcentral. Lineage: Eukaryota; Metazoa; Chordata; Actinopteri; Salmoniformes; Salmonidae.
GGGGCCUCCAGUUGCCCAUCCCUGCUAUUGAGUAACAUUUACCUAAUUUGAACCAUAGUAUAUUACAAUACUGUAAAUAUAAUAUUUCAAAGCAAUGCAAUGUUUCCUGUGGCUACCCCACUCAACAGAGAAAGUUGACCCCUGGCCUAGCAUGACAGAAGAGAUGUAAAAUUAGUGAACGUUUGUGGGAGACCUGCUAACCUUUCUGCUGAAUCAAAAGGCCAUACAUAGUCCUCCCUUAUCACAACCAUAGAACCUAACAAUCCUGUUGCUUCUUAAUGUUGGUACUGUAUUUCUGUUAAACAGGACCAUUCAAAAAAGUAGGGGAUAUCUUACCAAACACAUAACGUAAUAGAAGGGAUGCAACAAAAUAAGUUUGGAAUUGAUUGUAUACACGUUUUUCUUUCUCUUACGCACAAAGUUGGCCUAUUGAUGCCAUCUUGUGGACACUGAAAAGCAGAUGUUGAGAUAUUAUGUACAUAGUACAGGAAACAAGUCAAUCAUUUUCACAUGUGUUGGAACCAUAUUCAACAAAGAAACGACACAAUUAGAUCACCAAUGUUCCGCGCUUUUCUAUUGCUGUUACUGGCAGGUCCUGCACACACUAGUGUGAAGGUAAACCAGUGGACGUCUGAAACUCGCUACACAUUGGGAGACACAGCCAUUUUGCAUUGCAACAUAACCUCCGAUCAGGAGGUGAUAGAGAACUGUGAAAUGCAUUGGGUAAUCAUGGAUAUCAACAACAAAAACCGAACAAUAGAUGUCCUGAAGACAGAGUUGUAUAAGCAACGUGUAAACAUUGAGUCAAUUGAAAGCACCACUUCCAUGACAUUAAGAAACCUGACCUUACAUGACAGAGAUAUGCCAAACUGUACAGCAGAGUGCUACUUUGAUGGACAAUAUAAAAGAUAUUUUGGGAUGGGUUCUGUUCAGAUUUUCGAAGAGAUGGAAGUAAAGGAAGUCACCCAGGACAAGACAACUGUGGCUCCAAGUGAACUUUAAGAGGAGCCAUUUUACCCCUGGAUCAAAUAUCUACUGUUCUCUAGUAAUCUUCUAAUCUUUCUUGUAGCAACAGCUAUUUAUGUGUUUUACAUGCGAAAACAAAUGCAAAGGAAUUAAAGAACGAAUUGGCCGUGUUACUGCUGUAUGCAUCUCUCGUCCAGCACCAGAUCAAAUGCCACCUUUAUGAGAAUGUAUCAAAUUGAUAUAACAUGGCUUUGGCUAGUGUAAGUGUCCAGUGCUGGUGAUCGCGUGCCCGUUGGAGCCGCUUCUUCUUGUUUUCAGCGGAUAGGAGUGGAACCCAGUGUGGUCGCCUGCUGACAAGGACCGAUGAGUUGUGCAUUCCGAUACGCCAUUCUCUGUAAACCAUAACACAUGGAUGGGCAACUUUGAUUCUUGUGGGGGCCACAAAAGAUCUAAACUGAUCACGAGGGGCUGCCGUUGCUCUCAGGUCUCAUACCCACAUCCAUAGCUGUUUUACAGCGAAUUUCCUGCUAUUCUACACAUUUUGCCAUAGGGUGUAGAGAAAUGUUGGCCGUUUUAAUAUGAUAUCUUAGUGAGACUGACAAACAAAAAAAACUAUGGGGGACAUCUCGGCCGAUAAUUCGACCAUGAUUACAAGUUUAGAUAGCUGUCCGAUAAACUAAUUUGGCAAUCUAAAAAAUGUUAGCUGACAUGGGAUAAUUGACUGACUAUCUGUGUCUGACAUAAACAAGAGAAACCUUUCUGAAACACAACCACAUUUCGAAAUUGCACCCUGUGUAUUCUACUAUUCUAACCCAUAACAGUAAAUGUAGACCCCGUCUGAGUUCCUAAUUGAUUCGAGUUCCUUUAAAAGGAGACGCGGGACGCAAGUUGCCCAAUUUUACCCUAGACAAUGUCGUGCGUGAAAAGUCUCCGAGGCCGACCGUUUCAAAUAAACUGGCCACUGAGUGUAUAUGAUAUGAAUAGUGAUAAGACGAGCUAAUGAAAUAGGCUGCCAAUGCAACGUUAGCCUAGUCUACUACAGGCUGCACAGUUUUUGUAGUUCACGUGUCGCCUUGCAAAACCGGUCACAUACAAUAUUGUGGCUUCAAGGUAAUCAAAAUCGAAAGCAAAAUGUUUCUUUCGUUUUUAUUUUAUUUUCAACUUUACAUUGUUCAUUAUAUAGCUACCGUAGGCUACUAUGCUAUUGAUUAAUACACAAUUUAUCAUACUUAAAUUGACUGUUCACUUAAAAUCCCAGACUAUAUUCAAAUGAAAGCUUUAACAGCCUCUGCUGUUUUUCGAAUCCCAGACUGUAGCUUUAACAUGAAAUUAUCAAUAUUACAGAAGGACAUGGGAUCUUUUUUUAUUUGUAUUAUUAGCUGGUUAUAUUAGGCUUACUACAGUAUGCCACAAAACCUAUAUAUAUAGGCUACUAUCCUGGCCUAGGCUAUGCUACUGUAAGGCUGACGCUUCACAUUUCUGCCUCGAAAAAACUGUCAAAUAUAAUGUGGAAUUGUGGAUCAAAAUCGAAAGUGAAAUGUUAUUCUUGUUUUUACUUUAUCUUUUCAACUUUACAAUGUUCAUUAUAUAGCUACUGUAGGCCUACUGUGCUAUUGAUUAAUAAACUAUCAUAAUCAAGUUUACUAUUCACUUUAAUCCUGGUUAAAUCUGAGGUGCAAAACAUCAGUUCCUACCGUGGUGCUGGUACAGUACUGGAGUGCAGCAGACUGGCAUUCAAAUCACUGUACAGAUAUAGCCUUCACGGACAGGUAAUACAGGUCAGUGACUAGCGUGACGAUUAGUGUAACCUAGGCUACGGAAAUAAUAAUAAUACAUUUACAUUUACAUGUAAGUCAUUUAGCAGACGCUCUUAUCCAGAGCGACUUACAAAUUGGUGCAUUCACCUUAUGAUAUCCAGUGGAACAACCACUUUACAAUAGUGC